RNAcentral lists this signal recognition particle RNA (299 nucleotides) under Aotus nancymaae (Ma's night monkey). RNAcentral describes it as "Metazoan signal recognition particle RNA (ENSANAG00000011860.1)". It matches the Rfam family "Metazoan signal recognition particle RNA". Rfam says of the family: The signal recognition particle (SRP) is a universally conserved ribonucleoprotein. The record is from RNAcentral. Lineage: Eukaryota; Metazoa; Chordata; Mammalia; Primates; Aotidae.
ACUGGGCACGGUGGCGCGUGCCUGUAGUCCCAGCUACUCGAGAGGCUGAGGUGGGAGGAUCGCUUGAGCCCAGGAGUUCUGGGCUGUAGUGUGUUAUACCGAUCCGGUGUCUGCACUAAGUUUGGCAUCAAUAUGGUGACCUCCCAGGAGCAGGGGACCACCAGGUUGCCUAAGGAGGGGUGAACCGGCCCAGGUUGGAAAUGGAGCAGGUCAAAACUCCGGUGCUGAUCAGUAGUGGGAUCACACCUGUGAAUAGCCACUGCACUCCAGCCUGGGCAACAUAGCAAGACCCCAUCUCU